UACGUAGGCAGCAAGCGUUGUUCGGAGUUACUGGGCGUAAAGGGUGUGUAGGCGGUUCACUAAGUUCGGUGUGAAAUCUCCCGGCUUAACUGGGAGGGUGCAUUGAAAACUGGUGGGCUUGAGUAUGGGAGAGGUAAGCGGAAUUCCUGGUGUAGCGGUGAAAUGCGUAGAUAUCAGGAGGAACACCUGUGGUGUAGACAGCUUACUGGACCAUCACUGACGCUGAAACACGAAAGCGUGGGUGGCAAACAGG
RNAcentral lists this ribosomal RNA (253 nucleotides) under uncultured bacterium. RNAcentral describes it as "partial 16S ribosomal RNA". It matches the Rfam family "Bacterial small subunit ribosomal RNA", at positions 524 to 776 of the family's 1533-position model. The record is from RNAcentral.